AGCAAAGCAAGAAAGAUCGGGAGAAUGGGAAAGAAAAACAAAACGAGGGACAAGAAGAAGGUUGCUUGGGAUAGGCCCAUCUACCUGUACCUACAGGUCAAGGCAGACGACAACUCGGUGUCGUACGUGUUUAUGGUUCGUCAUUGAAGAUGGACGGCGGCCGAGGCAAAUCAGUGGAUCUGAAGAGAUUGAUGAUGAUGAUGAUGAUAAUAAGGUAAUCUUCCGUCCCCUAGAUCUUCCUGAAUUUGAUGAUGAUUACCUGCGCCUUCCUCACGGCGUUGUGGUCUUGGACUCCCGAUUAUUCAUGAUUGGUGGAUAUCAAUGUAGAAAGCGAGAUUCCUCUGGUGUGAAACCCUAUAUUGGGUAUAAUUACUUGGACCUGAAACCCUCAUAUGUAGGCCAGGAAUGGCGUUCUGUACAAGGGGUUUCAUUCCCUUCGCAAGAGUCGGUGGCCUGCAACAAAGACGGUCUCAUCUAUACCUUGGGACAGCGAUGUUGUCACCGUCUCGAUCCUCGCUCUGGUGUCCGUUCGGAGUUUCCCGCCACAUGCGGGUUUCGAACACAGCUUGGAGUAUCGAACAAGUAUAUUUACACCUAUUCCCUUGGUAUUUAUAAUCUCCUGUUUCGUUAUGAUUUGGAGAAACACGAGUGGGACUGCAUCUCUAGCAGGUUCUGGGGUCUCUGGGGCCCUGGAGUGGUGAUUUCCGGCGACUCCUACUUACCAUGCUUUGGCUCUAUGAAACCCACCGACAAAUUCUCCGAGCAGCUUGGUGUUUACGUUUUUGAUAUUGUCCGGCGUCAGUGGCUAGAUGAACCAGUCAAGGGCCUUGAUGAUGCUCUUCCCGUUAUCCCAGACACGUACGAGCCCUGGGAAAGGCACCUUUACCUCCACCAUUUACCGCGCUUGUUCCAAAUCGGAACCAAAAGAUUUGCUUUCGUUUGGGAGGAACGUUUUGUUCGGGGUCAGGGUCUUCUUCAUUGCCACAAGUUCACUAUCGACCACAUCCCCUGCAGCAGCUCCUCUCAUCGAACCAACAACCAACCCACCUCCUUUGUUGCGCGAAUAGUCUCAAGUGGAUUCCUUACUCUGCAACGCGCCGGAUUACUUGGUUGCGCUGUAGGAAUUGAAUCUUAUUCACGAGGCACAGGAACAGUGGAUCAUCUGCACCUGAGAAGCUAGUUGACCAAAAGAGUUUACAAAGCAGAUUUUAGGAACAGUGUGCUGUCUAGUUCUUUGAUUGUUUCGGAUUCAGGUGGAACGCAUUGAUCGAAACAAUCCACAGAAUAGUAGAGAGGAAGCAGCAUUUAACCGGACAGAUGUGUAUGGAAAGAACUCUAAUUCAUCUUCUGUAUUAGGCUUGAAAGCAUUGAUUGCUACCUGGGAAGAGUACCAUGCCAGUGUUGUCUUUGAGCUUUGGAUUGCUACCUUUUGAUUUUAGAAGCUUGCUGAUCAGUGUUUCAAACUGGCUGCCCAACCCUAUAUGCAUUCAGAAUUAUCAUAAUUUAAAAAAAAAUAAAAAUUUGCAAUAUCCCACAAAAUAUGGAGUAGUUUUCUGACUUUCUCAAAUAUAGGAGUGAGAAUCACCCUAUAGAGUAACUA
RNA transcript from Rosa rugosa (rugosa rose), 1600 nucleotides. RefSeq lists it as uncharacterized. The record is from RefSeq and is a predicted model, not a curated record. The transcript is spliced from 5 exons. NCBI's taxonomy places the organism in Eukaryota, Viridiplantae, Streptophyta, Magnoliopsida, Rosales, Rosaceae.